AGGACGAACGCUGGCGGCAUGCCUAAUACAUGCAAGUCGAGCGAACAGAUGAAGUGCUUGCACUUCUGACGUUAGCGGCGAACGGGUGAGUAACACGUAAGGAAUCUACCUAUAAGCGGGGGAUAACAUUCGGAAACGGGUGCUAAUACCGCAUAAUAUCUUCUUCCGCAUGGAAGAAGAUUGAAAGACGGCUCUGCUGUCACUUAUAGAUGACCUUGCGGUGCAUUAGUUAGUUGGUGGGGUAACGGCCUACCAAGACGAUGAUGCAUAGCCGACCUGAGAGGGUGAUCGGCCACAUUGGGACUGAGACACGGCCCAAACUCCUACGGGAGGCAGCAGUAGGGAAUCUUCCGCAAUGGGCGAAAGCCUGACGGAGCAAUGCCGCGUGAGUGAAGAAGGCCUUCGGGUCGUAAAACUCUGUUAUAAGAGAAGAACAAAUUGUAGAGUAACUGCUACAGUCUUGACGGUAUCUUAUCAGAAAGCCACGGCUAACUACGUGCCAGCAGCCGCGGUAAUACGUAGGUGGCAAGCGUUGUCCGGAUUUAUUGGGCGUAAAGGGAGCGCAGGUGGUUUCUUAAGUCUGAUGUGAAAGCCCACGGCUUAACCGUGGAGGGUCAUUGGAAACUGGGAAACUUGAGUACAGAAGAGGAAUGUGGAACUCCAUGUGUAGCGGUGGAAUGCGUAGAUAUAUGGAAGAACACCAGUGGCGAAGGCGACAUUCUGGUCUGUUACUGACACUGAGGCUCGAAAGCGUGGGGAGCAAACAGGAUUAGAUACCCUGGUAGUCCACGCCGUAAACGAUGAGUGCUAGGUGUUGGAGGGUUUCCGCCCUUCAGUGCCGCAGUUAACGCAUUAAGCACUCCGCC
Molecule: ribosomal RNA, 866 nt
Filed under: Aerococcus sp. M_Sw_oHS_06/11_6_3(2)
Lineage: Bacteria; Bacillati; Bacillota; Bacilli; Lactobacillales; Aerococcaceae
Description: bacterial SSU rRNA
Rfam family: Bacterial small subunit ribosomal RNA
Source: RNAcentral